Molecule: ribosomal RNA, 699 nt
Filed under: Peronospora pulveracea
Lineage: Eukaryota; Oomycota; Peronosporomycetes; Peronosporales; Peronosporaceae
Description: LSU rRNA
Rfam family: Eukaryotic large subunit ribosomal RNA
Source: RNAcentral
UAGUAACGGCGAGUGAAGCGGGAUGAGCUCAAGCUUAAAAUCUCCGUACAAAUUUUGUACGGCGAAUUGUAGUCUAUAGAGGCGUGGUCAGCGUGGGCUCUUGGGGCAAGUUCCUUGGAAAAGGACAGCAUGGAGGGUGAUACUCCCGUUCAUCCCUGAGUGGCUUGUGCGUACGACCCGUUUUCUUUGAGUCGCGUUGUUUGAGAAUGCAGCGCAAAGUAGGUGGUAAAUUCCAUCUAAAGCUAAAUAUUGGUGCGAGACCGAUAGCAUACAAGUACCGUGAGGGAAAGAUGAAAAGAACUUUGAAAAGAGAGUUAAAGAGUACCUGAAACUGCUGAAAGGGAACCGAAUCGUUUCCAGUGUCUAUAAUCCGUGGCAUAUUUCAUUGGCGAGUGUGUGCGUGCGUGUGCUGUGGCAGCGGCCUUUUUGGGCUGCGCUUGGCGCGUGUGGUGUGUGUGCUUGCUGGUGCCCUGUGCUGCGGUGGGACGUCAACGUCAGUUCGUAUGCUGCGGGAAAUGGCUGCCGAGGAGGUAGGGCUUACGCUUGCGUUUGUCUGUUAUAUCUUGGUGGACGAGUCGUCGCGGUUGGGACUGAGGUGCCUACAACGUGUUUUUGAGUGGGUUUGUGUCUCCGUGUGUGCCGUGUGCGGAUAGCUUGCUAUGCGUGUGUGGUUAUGUGUGGAUUGAUAUGGGCUUUAAC